UUGCUCUGACCUCGGAUCAGUA
This 22-nucleotide ribosomal RNA is filed under the name Camarosporidiella arborescentis. RNAcentral's name for it is "Camarosporidiella aborescentis partial 28S ribosomal RNA". Lineage: Eukaryota; Fungi; Ascomycota; Dothideomycetes; Pleosporales. RNAcentral also lists the same sequence under 2 other names. The record is from RNAcentral.